AGUGAACGCUGGCGGUAGGCCUAACACAUGCAAGUCGAACGGCAGCACAGUAAGAGCUUGCUCUUACGGGUGGCGAGUGGCGGACGAGUGAGGAAUACAUCGGAAUCUACUUUUUCGUGGGGGAUAACGUAGGGAAACUUACGCUAAUACCGCAUACGACCUACGGGUGAAAGCAGGGGAUCUUCGGACCUUGCGCGAUUGAAUGAGCCGAUGUCGGAUUAGCUAGUUGGCGGGGUAAAGGCCCACCAAGGCGACGAUCCGUAGCUGGUCUGAGAGGAUGAUCAGCCACACUGGAACUGAGACACGGUCCAGACUCCUACGGGAGGCAGCAGUGGGGAAUAUUGGACAAUGGGCGCAAGCCUGAUCCAGCCAUACCGCGUGAGUGAAGAAGGCCUUCGGGUUGUAAAGCCCUUUUGUUGGGAAAGAAAAGCAGCAGGUUAAUACCCCGCUGUUCUGACGGUACCCAAAGAAUAAGCACCGGCUAACUUCGUG
Molecule: ribosomal RNA, 492 nt
Filed under: uncultured bacterium
Lineage: Bacteria
Description: partial 16S ribosomal RNA
Rfam family: Bacterial small subunit ribosomal RNA
Source: RNAcentral